RNAcentral lists this ribosomal RNA (445 nucleotides) under uncultured bacterium. RNAcentral describes it as "partial 16S ribosomal RNA". It matches the Rfam family "Bacterial small subunit ribosomal RNA", at positions 354 to 796 of the family's 1533-position model. The record is from RNAcentral.
GUGAGGAAUAUUGGUCAAUGGGCGGGAGCCUGAACCAGCCAAGUCGCGUGAAGGAAGAAGGAUCUAUGGUUCGUAAACUUCUUUUGCAGGGGAAUAAAGUGCAGGACGUGUCCUGUUUUGUAUGUACUCUGAGAAUAAGGAUCGGCUAACUCCGUGCCAGCAGCCGCGGUAAUACGGAGGAUCCGAGCGUUAUCCGGAUUUAUUGGGUUUAAAGGGUGAGUAGGUGGUUUGAUAAGUCAGCGGUGAAAGUUUGCAGCUUAACUGUAAAAAUGCCGUUGAAACUGUCGGACUUGAGUGUAAAUGAGGUAGGCGGAAUGCGUGGUGUAGCGGUGAAAUGCAUAGAUAUCACGCAGAACUCCGAUUGCGAAGGCAGCUUACUAAGCUACAACUGACACUGAAGCACGAAAGCGUGGGGAUCAAACAGGAUUAGAUACCCUAGUAGUCC